Molecule: long non-coding RNA, 379 nt
Filed under: Salvia miltiorrhiza (redroot sage)
Lineage: Eukaryota; Viridiplantae; Streptophyta; Magnoliopsida; Lamiales; Lamiaceae
Description: long non-coding RNA (SMIL_LNC003641)
Source: RNAcentral
UUUUUAUAUAUUUAUUUUCUGAAUUUUCAGUUUAUUUAUUUAUUUAUUUAUUUUCUGAAUUUCAAGUUUAUUUAUUUAUUUAUUUUUGAAUUUUCAGUUUAUUUAUUUUCCAGUUUAUUUAUUUCCAGUUUAUUUACUUAUUUAUUUAUUUAUUUAUUUAUUUCCAGUUUAUUUAUUUUCCAUUUUAUUUAUAUAUUUAUUUUCUGAAUUUUCACCUAAUAAAAUAAUGCCAAAUAGUUAGUGCAAGAUUAGUAAAAGUAACUACAAUACAUUAACACUACCCUUUUAGUCUUUUACACCACCUUUACACCACCUUUUUCAGCUUUCUUAAAACCCGUGCCAGCACCCAAAUGGGGCACUUUUUCGUGGACGGAGGGAG